AUGAAGAACGCAGCGAAAUGCGAUAAGUAAUGUGAAUUGCAGAAUUCAGUGAAUCAUCGAAUCUUUGAACGCACCUUGCGCCCUUUGGCCAUUCCGAAGGGCAUGCCUGUUUGAGUAUCAUGAACACCUCAACUCUUUAUGGUUUUCCAUGAUGAGCUUGGACUCUGGGGGUUUUGCUGGCUCACAGUCGGCUCCUCUAAAAUAAAUCAGCUUACCAGUGUUUGGUGGGUAUCAUGGGUGUGAUAACUAUCUACGCUUGUGGUUUUUCCACCAGGUAACCUUCAGCAGUGGAGGUUCGCUGGAGCUCAUAGACGUCUCUCCUCAGUGAGGACAGCCCUUUGAUCGUUUGAUCUCAAAUCAGGUAGGACUACCCGCUGAACUUAAGCAUAUCAAUAAGCGGAGGA
Molecule: unclassified non-coding RNA, 404 nt
Filed under: soil metagenome
Description: partial contains 5.8S ribosomal RNA, internal transcribed spacer 2, and large subunit ribosomal RNA
Rfam family: 5.8S ribosomal RNA (bases 1-120)
Source: RNAcentral